RNAcentral lists this long non-coding RNA (1257 nucleotides) under Solanum lycopersicum (tomato). Its description in RNAcentral is "long non-coding RNA (SLYC_LNC001345)". Lineage: Eukaryota; Viridiplantae; Streptophyta; Magnoliopsida; Solanales; Solanaceae. The record is from RNAcentral.
UGAUAUUCUAGUAGAAAUAUUGGUAUAUGUUAAAGGUUUGGAUUCCUUGGUUCACCCGCUUAGGAGGUUAAGUAUGGGUUCCACUCACGACUCGUUUUGGGUAGUGGCACGAUGAUAGAUACAUCACAAUAAAAUAAUCUAGUUUACUCAAUAAACAAACAAAUAGCAACAUGUGCAAAUUGUGCUACCCCAACCAACCGACAAUAGAACAUAUAUCAGGUGUGAUAUCUAAGACAACCUUAAAUACUUCAUAGCAGACAUGUACUCAAGUCAAUUGAUAAUAUCAACGAGGCAUGUUGCAUGAUAUAAUCAAGAGAUAUCUCAUAUUUGGUAUGGUGUCUGAUCAAGAUGAAUCACAUAUAUCGCACAAUUACAAUGAGUACAAUUACACUAGUAAACCACGAGCAAUCAAGACAAAUUCAUUGUGUGAGAUUCACAAUAAAAUAUCAUUCACAUUUAUUCCUUUAAUUUAUUUCCUGAACAUGCAUUAUGUAUAGUUUACUUAAUCCUUAUGGCAUACCGUCAAUUCACCUCAAUAAGAAUAUUAAAAGGUUUACAAUCAUGAACUAGUCCGUCAUAGUUAGUCAUAGGAUAAUACUUGCUUCCACAGUACAUUUCUGCCCUAUUAGCAAUAAUCAACACUCUUUAAUCAACCAAACCCUGCAUCAAAAGGCCGAGGUAUUAAAUCUACAGUCAAUCUACAAGAAUAUUAUGAAUUAAAGACAGAUUUAAGUUCUAACUACUCAGUAAACUCUACACUAGAUCAUGAGCUAUUACUCAUUUUGUGAAAUUUUAGCUUGUUCUUGAUUUAAAAUAAUAACAAAAGUACCAAAUAAAUCUCAAUUAACCUAAACAUUCUCAUAUUAUAACUUAAUCCCAAACUCCAGGUCAACCUUGUGAUUUUCCCAUCCAAUAUAGGACUUUCCCAACAUUAAUGCACCUAGACCUACUAAUCUCAUCGUUACACUAGUGAAUUAUGGUAAACGAAUCAAGAACAAAUGUUUUAUAAAGAAGUCAAGGUCUUACACCUCAAAAUCCUCAUAAACUUAGAAUUUUCCCCACCUUUGGAUGAACCCAAGCCAUCCUCUAGGACCACAAUUACUGAAUCGAAGGCCAACAAAUCAAAGUACUAAAUCAGAAAAUGAAUUACUUAGUAAGAGAAAGGUUCCUAAUGAAAAUUAUCUGAAAAUCUCCCAUAGUCGCUCUUGUUUUCCCCCAAAAUGUUUUUGUAUGAUUAUUAAGGGUUUUGGGGAUUUC